RNAcentral lists this ribosomal RNA (481 nucleotides) under uncultured bacterium. RNAcentral describes it as "partial 16S ribosomal RNA". It matches the Rfam family "Bacterial small subunit ribosomal RNA", at positions 29 to 523 of the family's 1533-position model. The record is from RNAcentral.
AAUGAACGUUGGCGGCGUGGAUUAGGCAUGCAAGUCGAGCGAGAACCGUAGCAAUACGGGGACAGCGGCAAAGGGAGAGUAAUACGUGGAUACCUACCCUCGGGUUCGGGAUAGCUGCGGGAAACUGCUGGUAAUACCGAAUAACAUCUCCGGAUCAAGGGUGUGAUUCCGCCCGGGGAGGGGUCCGCGUCCUAUUAGCUUGUUGGUGAGGUAACGGCUCACCAAGGCGAAGAUGGGUACGGGGUGUGAGAGCAUGCCCCCGCUCACUGGGACUGAGACACUGACCAGACACCUACGGGUGGCUGCAGUCGAGAAUCUUCGGCAAUGGGCGCAAGCCUGACCGAGCGACGCCGCGUGCGAGAUGAAGGCCUUCGGGUUGUAAAUCGCUGUCAGUGGGGAGGAAAUGCCAUAGGGUUCUCUCUAUGGUUUGACCUAUCCGCAGAGGAAGGAUGGGCUAAGUUCGUGCCAGCCGCCGCUGUAA